AUUGAACGCUGGCGGCAGGCCUAACACAUGCAAGUCGAACGGUAACAGGAAGCUGCUUGCUGCUUUGCUGGCGAGUGGCGGACGGGUGAGUAAUGUCUGGGAAACUUCCCGAUGGAGGGGGAUAACUACUGGAAACGGUUGCUAAUACCGCAUAACGUCGCAAGACCAAAGAGGGGGACCUUAGGGGCUCUUGCCAUCGGCUGUGCCCAGAUGGGAUUAGCUAGUAGGUGGGGUAACGGCUCACCUAGGCGACGAUCUCUAGCUGGUCUGAGAGGAUGACCAGCCACACUGGAACUGAGACACGGUCCAGACUCCUACGGGAGGCAGCAGUGGGGAAUAUUGCACAAUGGGCGCAAGCCUGAUGCAGCCAUGCCGCGUGUAUGAAGAAGGCCUUCGGGUUGUAAAGUACUUUCAGCGGGGAGGAAGGGAGUAAAGUUAAUACCUUUGCUCAUUGACGUUACCCGCAGAAGAAGCACCGGCUAACUCCGUG
This 490-nucleotide ribosomal RNA is filed under the name uncultured bacterium. Its description in RNAcentral is "partial 16S ribosomal RNA". It matches the Rfam family "Bacterial small subunit ribosomal RNA", at positions 30 to 507 of the family's 1533-position model. The record is from RNAcentral.